ACACUAAAAAAAAUAAAUUAAGAGAGUUUAUUAGUUGAAAGGAGGUGUUUAUUUUUGUGGAGUUUUGAACUCAAUUCUUGUCUAGAGUUGUUGAGUUGUUGAGUUAUUGUGAGUAGGCUGUUGUAUCCUGGAGGGGACAAGUCAAGAGUAUCACUGUUGGACCGGUGACAAAAUUACUGCAGUGGGCUUGAAUCUUAUUAUAAGUCUUCUCCAUGUUUCUUAGGGCUUCGGGCCACAGGUGACAGAAGAGUUUUAAAAUGAGGUGUAGGUGACACAAUUCUUAAUUAGUAGUUGGAGGUGACAAUUACUUUAAUAUGGAUUAAAAAAGUUGGGGAAGUUUGAAAAUAACCCACAAGUUUUUAAAUUUAUACUUUGAUCUCAAUGUUUACCUAAACUAAUAGAAAACAGAGGAAAAAAGGUGUCUUUCUCUCUCUUCUCAUCCAUUGUUGUUUUCCCUCUCUUAGAGAUUUUUGUUGUUCAUUAUUUUUGCUGCUUUAUUCACCAUCUUCUGCUUUGUUAUCAUAAUCUUCUACUUCAUUAUCAUCUUCAUCUUCUUCUUGUCGACCAUUUGUUGUUGUUGUUGUUCUUGGUACAACGCUACUGGUGUGAUCUGAUAAAUUUAUUAAGUCAAAUUUUGUUUACUA
This 644-nucleotide long non-coding RNA is filed under the name Capsicum annuum. Its description in RNAcentral is "long non-coding RNA (CANN_LNC015095)". The record is from RNAcentral. Lineage: Eukaryota; Viridiplantae; Streptophyta; Magnoliopsida; Solanales; Solanaceae.